Long non-coding RNA from Bolinopsis microptera, 582 nucleotides. RefSeq lists it as uncharacterized. Lineage: Eukaryota; Metazoa; Ctenophora; Tentaculata; Lobata; Bolinopsidae. The record is from RefSeq and is a predicted model, not a curated record. The transcript has 2 exons.
GGAUGUCAGCUGACAAACAAGAUUUAGUAUUGGAGUGGACUGAUCUAGUUAAUGAUGUCCAGUCUAAAGUCGAAUGGAGCUGUGAGAAGGAAUUAACCGUCAUAAAAAUGCUAGAUGAAUUGAUUGAGAAAUCAGAUGAUUUAGUGGAGCAAUUGAUGUCAACUAAAGAUGAUUUCAAAGCCAGAGUAUCUGAUAUCUUGAAUGCUCUCUUGUGACCACGGUGGUAUUUAUCGGGGUAUUCAUCAUCAUUAGAGGACCAAUUCGUUACAACUUCGAUUUUGUAGUGUUUGUUGUUUAUUUUAUUUCUGAAUUGAAAUUGUUCUAGAGUAUUGAACUGUUUCCAGUAUGCAAAACGUUAGAAUUAUGAUUAUGUUCAAAAAGCUGUAAAGGAUAUGGAAAGUUUUACCAAAGUACAAUUGAAUUUUUGUAGAUAAAUAUGUAAUGUGGUUUUUUUGUAAUGUGGUUUUUUUGUAAUGUGGUUUUUUUGUAAUGUGGUUUUUUUGUAAUGUGGUUUUUUUGUAAUGUGGUUUUUUUGUAAUUUGUUCUUUAUAAAUUAAAUCAAGAUAAUUCGAUUUAAAUUAA